ACUUGAUUGCACCAUGUAGUGUAGGAACAGAUUAAUAAUGAAUACACUCCUAACUUGGAGUUCCUCUAUCUUCAUUCUAGUUUCCUUUUCACUACUUCCUAAUCCCCUCUAGGUAUUAUAUUUCUGGGUGUUUUAUGUUCUGAAUGUUAACAACUCUUAACUUAUCUGAGUACUUCCACUUGAUUUCUGUGAGACUACUUGAGAAAAGUUAUUCACAUAAUGUACUGUCUACAUCUGGGCCCAUUAUCAUUCCUGGACCACCAACUGUAGUAUGAAAAUCUUUUCAGAACAGAGUUCUCAUUAAUUUCUAGGCAUUUCUGUUUCCAUUUCUAAGUGGAAAAGAUUUCUCUCUGUAUUUUGGACAUCUGGUUAUAGUCUUGGGAAGAAUCUGAAUAUAAAAUUCAUUUCAUGAACUACCAAUCCAAAGGAAAGGGCUGGUUCCAAAAAUCAGACAAAUUGAGUUUUUCCAGUUACAGACUAUCUCGGCCACCCCUCUGAAGCUUUUGAGCAUGAAUCAGGUUUGGCUGGGCAAAAAGUUGUCAGGCCAUGGCCCUUGUGAUGCCUUUCCUCCAUGUCCUAAGAUUCAGCCCAUCUUCAAGUCAGCCUAUUCCAGCCUCACCUCUGGUUUUCCUGGAGUUCUUCACUGCCCUCAACAAGGCAGACUAAUGGCGGAAGGGACAUCUCCAAGGGUGGGAAUAUAGUUGCACAGAGCUGUUGAGCUCUUUUUGCUCUGCCCUUGCCUUCUUUGAGGAUAGCAAGUAGAGGGGAGAGAGGCUCUGCUGAUUUCCAGCAACGCUGAACUUCAUCAGAGGACUGGAGCUUCUCAUGCCAUUGGAAAAUGAGCCAGCAACCCAUCACUCACAAAAAAAGAUGGCUAUACACACAGCUUACAGUGUUUGACUUUGUAACCUUAAUUUUCUCCUUACUUUUUAAUGUAUUGCGUGUGUUUGUAUUUGUGCAUAUUGUGUGUGCAUGUAUUUAAAAAAGUAUUAAAUAGCAGGAACACAUAUACAAGGAUGAUACACAUUUCAGAAUGUGCCCUAAAAGUCAAUACUGCCCAGAAGCAUACGCGGAACAAUUAUGACAAAACUCACAAUGGUUCUAUGCUAUCCCUUUGCUUUGGGAGCAGAUUGCUUCUCUACAUGAUUGCUCAGUUCUGCAGGCUAAUACAUUGAGAAAGUCAAAGCUUUGACCAUCCCUCACUGCUGUUUACAUACCAUUCACUCAUGCAGAUUUGAAGGAUCAAUAGUGACUCCAAAGAAGCUUCUUUACCAUUACUUAUGCUCAUUUUAUGCCUUCUUACUCCUUUGUAUGGUACAGAAGACAAGAGAUAAUCUUGUCCUUUAAUGAAAAAUAAUACUUUUGGAGAAUUUUUAAAAAAUCUGGAUGAUCCUAUAGCAGACAAAUAAUUCUGUUUAAAAAAUGUUCAACAUGGCUUAAAUUCUAUGAUAAGAAUAUUAAUUUAUUAAACUCAAUAGUUAUUUUUAAAUAUAACUUCUAUUCAACCCUAUUGGUUUAAUCCAUUUUAAUAUCCAUAGAACUUUUCAGAAGAGGAAAUAGACUAUAAAGAGAUGUGACAUUAUCUCCUUAACUACCAUUACUGAUUUGUUAUGGCUUUAACAUAUUUGUAAUUAAUUAUCAUUUUACAAUGAUAAUUGUACAAUUAUCAUAUUAUUUUAAAAUAUCAAGAGCCAAAAGUAAUAGGAUAUCAAUAAAUCCAACUGGUUUUAUGUGUAUACAUUAGACUUACACUAUUAUUUUCUUAAUGUAUUAUACUCAACUUUUUUGGCCUUCAUAAUAAACUGUAUUUA
This is a non-coding RNA of Pelodiscus sinensis (Chinese soft-shelled turtle), 1811 nucleotides long. The record is from RefSeq and is a predicted model, not a curated record. NCBI's taxonomy places the organism in Eukaryota, Metazoa, Chordata, Testudines, Trionychidae.